RNAcentral lists this ribosomal RNA (253 nucleotides) under uncultured bacterium. RNAcentral's name for it is "partial 16S ribosomal RNA". It matches the Rfam family "Bacterial small subunit ribosomal RNA", at positions 524 to 776 of the family's 1533-position model. The record is from RNAcentral.
UACGGGGGGGGCAAGCGUUGUUCGGAAUUACUGGGCGUAAAGGGCUCGUAGGUGGCCAACUAAGUCAGACGUGAAAUCCCUCGGCUUAACCGGGGAACUGCGUCUGAUACUGGAUGGCUUGAGUUUGGGAGAGGGACGCGGAAUUCCAGGUGUAGCGGUGAAAUGCGUAGAUAUCUGGAGGAACACCGGUGGCGAAGGCGGCAUUCUGGACCGAUAUUGACGCUGAGGAGCGAAAGCCAGGGGAGCGAACGGG